UGAUCAAACAACGGUGAGAAUGUCUUGCUCAUGGACUUCAACAAUUAUGAGUAGUUAUCUUUUACAUUCCACUGCAUGUUUACAUUAAUCCAAAUAUUCACACUAUUUAGUUUAAAAUUCCCCAGCCAUAACUUAUUCCAUUUCAUAUAUUCAUCUCACAUGCAUUAUAAAAAAACUCACCAUGAUCAUGCUCUUUUAUCUCUAUCUGAAUAAAUCUCUAUAAUGCUUUCAUGUCACCUUUGUUUGCUAUAGUAUAUGUUUAGGUUUGGAGUAGUUUCAUUUAUCUCUUAAAUAAAGCAUGGUGCCUAGUUUAGGAGUGAUGAUCUUGCUCUCAAAGGCUUUUAAUUAGACGUGGUUAAAAUGCCUUCUUUAAUCAAAUUAGACGUGGUGUCUAGGCUGAUUUUUGAGCCGAUAGUAUGCUGUAGUAGAUACUGGAAUAUUUUGUCGGACUAACCCCUACAAGAAAAUUUUGAAUUAAAUCUGGGAAAGUCAAGAGAUAAGUUCACAACGAGGAUGAAUCAAGGUAGAUAAUAACUUUGCACAAAAAGUUCAACUUGUGAGUAGUAAUAUUUAUCUAUUUAUCUUUUGUUACAAGUUAUGUGUUCCUUGAACCAUGAUAGAUUGCAACAACAACAUAAAACACAAUAGACACAAUUUAUGCUAAAUAAUCUUAAACCAUAUAUCAUCUUGAUUAGCAUAAAAAAUAAAAAAAAAGAAUGGAUAACAAAACCUGUAUUUCAAUCUUGUUAUUCCCUUGGGUUUGAGUCCAUUAACGUUUUGUAGGAAAGAACAACCUUAAUCUAUUGAAGAAGAAGUUUUCAAGUGAACAUUAUUGCAUCUCCAAUAGACCCCAGC
Molecule: long non-coding RNA, 855 nt
Filed under: Sorghum bicolor (sorghum)
Lineage: Eukaryota; Viridiplantae; Streptophyta; Magnoliopsida; Poales; Poaceae
Description: long non-coding RNA (SBIC_LNC007376)
Source: RNAcentral